GCGAGAUUAGUAUAAUGGUAGUACAUGACCUUCCCAAGGUUAGGGCACGGGUUCGAUUCCCGUAUCUCGCUCCA
Molecule: transfer RNA, 74 nt
Filed under: Candidatus Moraniibacteriota bacterium
Lineage: Bacteria; Candidatus Moraniibacteriota
Description: tRNA-Gly
Rfam family: tRNA
About the family: Transfer RNA (tRNA) molecules are approximately 80 nucleotides in length. Their secondary structure includes four short double-helical elements and three loops (D, anti-codon, and T loops).
Source: RNAcentral